GUGGAUGUAGCUCAAUGGUAGAGUAUGCACUUAAGAUGCGUGAGGUCCUGGAUUUGAUCCCCAACACCAACA
Molecule: transfer RNA, 72 nt
Filed under: Rattus norvegicus (Norway rat)
Lineage: Eukaryota; Metazoa; Chordata; Mammalia; Rodentia; Muridae
Rfam family: tRNA
About the family: Transfer RNA (tRNA) molecules are approximately 80 nucleotides in length. Their secondary structure includes four short double-helical elements and three loops (D, anti-codon, and T loops).
Source: Rfam by way of RNAcentral